CUGGAAGCAAUUUGAAAUUCAAAUUUCAAAUCCCACUCUCUCCUCUCAAGUCUCGAUUUUAAAUUUAAACCAAGAGCUCAAUUUCUACUUGCAGAAGUGGGAAAUCCGAAAACCAAGAAAUGGAUGGGAUUUUUCUUAGGGUUCCAUACAUAAUACAAAAGCAAGUCAAAUUCUGCUAUACUAAUGCACGAUAAGUGUUUGUAGCAAUGUCACGAAGAGUUCCUAUUUUUGUAAGAAAUGAUUAGAUUUUUCUUGAGGUUCUGUACAAAGCAUAUAAAGUUCUGUCAUUACUGAUGCAUGGUAACCUUUGUAGAAAUGUCACAAAGAAGUUUCUUUUGUUGGGGGCAGAUUUUGGGUCCUGAUUAGUUCAAGUCCUUAGAGCUAAUGUGUACAAGAUCUGAGAUUGUAGUGGAAAAGAAGUUGUAUUUUAAUUUUUGGGUCACAUUUUAAUUUUCUUAGAGUUGUGGAAAUUGAAAGGAGACUAGAGGCCGUUGUUGAAGCUGAACACAACUUCAGUGGAUGGAACCUGAGGAGAACUCAGAUGAAGCGAAACUUUCUAAGAAAGCUUCGCAAAGUGGUAGAUGGAUUUUCGGUUUUUGGUAAGGUCAUUUUGGAUAUCUUCUGCAAUUCACAUAGAUUAUACCUUUAGCCAGUUAAAGAUUUUUUGCGGUGCAGAAAACCGGAGAGGUCAGCGGUAGAGAACAUUCUAAAGUUAAUUACUUUGAGCUCCUUUUCAGUUAUUUUUUGUGAAAUUUUAAUAUGAUUCUACCUAAUAAUGUAUUUAAUAAAGUGGUAUUUUUAUAGGUGAUUUCCUAUAUUAGAACUGGGAGCAAUCUACUUUAGUCCUUAACUGGUAGAUACAAAUACCUUCCCUAUACGGUGAAGCAACUAAUCUCAAUGUAGGUUCUUUAAUCCUAAUAGCAAACUUACCCCAAAUCUGACGUAGCGACAAGAUUUUUUUUUAACAUCAACUUUAAAUCCAUGAAUUGUACUUAAAGGUAGUAAUAAGAACAUAAUAUGUUCACAAUUCUGUUCCUAUGCACGCCAGCUUAGGAUUGUAUAAGGGAAACCAGUUAUGAUGUUUAUUUCUAUUUCUUUUGAUUUGCUUGUUAGUUCUUCCUCUGUUUUAAGGUUCCAGAAAAUUUGGCAGCCGACACUUCUCGAUCAUUCCCACAGGAUGAGUUUUGAAGCUUGCAUCAGGCGGCCUCGCAGUUUAUUGGUGAUGGUGGUGGACAUUGCACAUGUUAUGGGUAAUGAUGUUGAACCCAACAUCAAUAGCAGCAGACAAGAAACUAACUGUACCAAGGUAGCCAUUUUCCAUGAGAGGAAAGGAGGACAAGGUGUUACUUAGCAUCAACAUACACGGAGAUAUUUCCAGCAUGGGAAAAGGUGUAUCUGAUUGUUUAAGGAUCUCUUAUUGGGUUCUAGAGUAAUUCAAGUUGGUUAUCUUCUUGAUUAUGGGAGCCAAAUAUUGGAAGCAUGUCACUAAUUGAUGAAGUUCAAUUACUGUGAAUGAUGCUAUGAUUAAACAUGGAGGUAAUCUUCGUGUUUGUAUCUUUCAAUUUUCUAUGUAAUCUUCUCAUCGUAUUUACUUUAAAUGAUGCUUCGUGUUUACUACUGCAAGUGUCAUAAAUUCUUCAUAUAAUCUUGACGACGAGCAGAAAAACGCUAUUAAUAAAAUAUUAUUCCAGGUUAAUGGUUUUUACUUGAGUCAAGUUAUGGUCAAAUCAACACAACCUUAAUUCAGUUGAUGUUCCAGUCGUGGCCUCCUUUUAGUUUUCUUGAUUUUUUCUUAAAAUUGUUUUGAUUUUUGAGGUAUGAAAAUACUUAAGCUUUGGUCUCUACAAAACUAAAACAUAAACCUAAGUGUGAUUUAGAAAACCUAAAAAGACCCCCACUCUGUGUUAUGGGACUUUAAAAAUGCAAAGUUAGUAACGCGUUCAUAUCUAAGCAUGAGUAUGAGUUAGCUGUUGUAAGAUGCCAGAGCCUAUCAUCUGCUUCCAUUUAUUUAUUUGGUUAUUCUUUUUGUUCUUUGUUAACUUGAUCCUGGUAUCACUUUGUUCUCAUCUGCAACCACGUGCAAUAAAAAAUGGUGCUAUCAAACAGCCAAAAGAAGUAACAAAUAAAAUUUUCAUUGAAAUAUCUGUCUAUCCAACUUGGUUGUUACCUAUAUAUUUGGCGGCCACAAUUUUAUUGAUGAAACAAGACAUCCCUGAAUUGGGAUACUGUAUGAUCUCAAUGAUGAUGGUUGUGAAAAGCGAGGUCAGCA
Papaver somniferum (opium poppy) is the source of this 2269-nucleotide long non-coding RNA. RefSeq lists it as uncharacterized. NCBI's taxonomy places the organism in Eukaryota, Viridiplantae, Streptophyta, Magnoliopsida, Ranunculales, Papaveraceae. The record is from RefSeq and is a predicted model, not a curated record. The transcript is spliced from 4 exons.